Molecule: long non-coding RNA, 1910 nt
Filed under: Nicotiana benthamiana
Lineage: Eukaryota; Viridiplantae; Streptophyta; Magnoliopsida; Solanales; Solanaceae
Description: long non-coding RNA (NBEN_LNC006549)
Source: RNAcentral
ACCAAAAAAAGGACUUCAACAUAUAUAAAUACAUCGAGUAACACAUAUUAGUAACAACACCAGCAACUCAUUAAUUUUUGACAAUUUGUAAAGCCUAAUUUUAUUGCCCUGGUGACCUUACCUUACCUCAAUAUGUAAGGAAUCAGCCCAAGAAAAUGAACUAUAUGCAGUCCCUUUGGCAAGAAAGAGCAGGAAAGACACUGCUGAAAAAUGAUCGUCUAGGCUUCUAUUUAAUAUGAAUUCAUAUACAGGGAGCCUCUGAAUACUGCUUUCCCUUUUAAUGCCACGAUAUCCAAUUAGUUGAUGUGAUUUGGGUGAUCUACCAGACUGCCACUCCCAGAAAUUGCACUUUCCCUACCAAGUAUUAAUAACCCUACAUAACAACAAUUAGAGAUCAACACAAUACUACAUGUUUCAAUAACAUAUAACUUAAAUUGUUUAGCUUCUUAAACACAAAACUCAUGCUUUAACUUCCCAAGAACACACUAAUUAUCUACAGAAGCAAAAUGUGUCACUCAUACCUUGUUGCAAAGUAAAUGCUGAAAACCAAAAUGUUAAAUCAAAAGGGAGAAAAGUGAAACACAAUUCCAUUGUUGUCAUGGAUCAGUCAAAGUCGCCAUGACAACUUUGAGUGAGCCAUGGUUGCUAACACAUCAGUUCUGACAGAGAAAAGAGAUACCAAAAGCUCCCCCAGUGCCUCCAACUCUACCCCUAGUCAAAGAACAUCAUUUGCACCUUCUUUCACAUAUCUACUACUUAUCCAAAUGUAGUAAAUAAAAUAAAAAUAAAAAGUAAAGUAUUACCUCCCAUCAUCAACAUCAAUAUCUCAAGUAACAAAUGAAAGCAUCAAGGCCCUUAUCCUGAACUGCUCUAAACUGCUGGUGCAUUUGAAUCUACUACAGUAUUCCUACAAGAUGGCCCUAAAAUUUUUCAAAAAAAAUAAAAGUCUUUCAACUAGCAUACCAACAUACAGAUUGCCACAAAGGAGAUUGCAAAUGGAUUCAAAGCUGAACUGAAGUAAACACUUACCGAAUUAACAUAGGCACGGGCCCGUAGUAUUAAUAAUGAAUGCAGAUGACCCAUAGUAUUAAUAAUGAAUGCAGAUGAGCCAUAGUAUUAAUAAUGAAUUCACAUAGGCACGGGCCCAUAGUAUUAAAAAUGACUGCAGAUGGCUGCGAUGUUACUAUUAAUGUCAUUUCCCGUUGCAAUUUUCUCGCUUCUUUAAACAACUUCUCAUCUUUCUAUAUUGUAUUUUUACUUCAUUUAAAUUUAAUAUUAUAAUGUUUCAAUUGCCCCCACUUGUCCAAGGACAACUUCCCUGCAAGCUUCUAUUUUGCAAAAUCAAGUUUAGAGAUCAAUCUUUGUAAGGAAAGUUUGACUUAAACUUUAUGCUUGAGCCAUCCAUUUGUUGACUCGAGAUGGAAAUUACUCCCUUUCUAAAUAAGUUUUUCGGACAUCUAUCAUCCAACUUUAGAAGAAAACUAUUUUCGCUUUUUAGAUUCACAUUUCAUGUACAAAGAAGCCGAGUUAAGUUCACAUAAUUGUAUUAUGCAAGUUACACUUUUCAAUGGCUGCUAUUUACUUGAAAGAAAAAAGAGACACACAGAGGUAUUAUCUAGAAGCACAACCCAGUCAAAUUAACAAGAACUAAGAUGGUGGCGAUAUUACAUAGACAAAAAGAAAACGAAAGUUGAAAGGAAAACCAAAAGGACUCACAGUCGAUUUGCAGGAAGGGUCGUAGAGCCAGUUGGGUUCUCAGCAGAACCUGCGCUUUUCAGUCUUCAGACUCUGAGAAAACUUGUGUUCUUCACUUCUUCAUCAGAUAUGGCGAGAGUCAAUCGUGAGAAAAAAAGAGUUAGAAACGAACAAACCUAAAAUGAUCAACUCAAUAUACACAGCUUUAAAUCCAA